UGUUAUCACAGAAGAAUGUCUACCGUGGG
This 29-nucleotide non-coding RNA is filed under the name Mus musculus (house mouse). Lineage: Eukaryota; Metazoa; Chordata; Mammalia; Rodentia; Muridae. The record is from RNAcentral.